AGCGUAAAUUUAUUUGAUAUUUCCGUCGGUCAGAGCUGGCACGUGUUCCUUUCCCUACUGAUACUUCAGUUGCAUCCUCGAUUAUCUGUCGCUGGUCUCAUGUGGUGUGGAUGGCUCCGCAGAGUUAUUAUCUGAGAUUACCACGUGCGACAUGAUCUGAAAACACGUUCAGUGGGGAAUUUUGACUAAGAUGGUACAGUUAUCAAAUCAUAACACAGGUGUUCCAAGGUGAGUUCGGAUGGGAAAAAAUCUGAUGUAGAGCAAAAGGAAAAAAACCUACUAGAUUUUGGUUUUCACUACCAUUACAGUCAGUGAAAGCGUGGCCUAUUGAUCCUUUUGACUACCCGAUUUUAAAAUCUUGAUGCCAGAGGUGACACAAGGCUAC
Molecule: non-coding RNA, 385 nt
Filed under: Hymenolepis diminuta
Lineage: Eukaryota; Metazoa; Platyhelminthes; Cestoda; Cyclophyllidea; Hymenolepididae
Description: Eukaryotic large subunit ribosomal RNA
Rfam family: Eukaryotic large subunit ribosomal RNA
Source: Rfam by way of RNAcentral